AUGUUCCUCUUGGUCAAAAACGCACCAAGUCGUCUCCAAGUUUGAAGCAUUCAGCAAACAAUGGCAAGGCAGAGCCACCGGAAACGUACACCUGAUUUUCAUGAUAAAUAUGGUAGUGCUGUAUUAGCUAGUGGAACCACUUUCUGUAUUGCUAUAUGGACAUAGGUAGCAACACAAAUCAGAAUAGAAUGGAACCUGUCCCCUGUUGGCAGGGUCACCCCAAAGGAAUGGAGAGAUC
RNAcentral lists this long non-coding RNA (238 nucleotides) under Homo sapiens (human). RNAcentral describes it as "non-protein coding lnc-MRPL37-6:1". The record is from RNAcentral. Lineage: Eukaryota; Metazoa; Chordata; Mammalia; Primates; Hominidae.